AUGGCAAUAUCAAUUAGCCAUGAGUUAGUCGAUCCUGAAUGGAGGGUUAAUUCCUUAAAAUACUUAGUAAUAAGUAAAUCCAUGAAAGGGAAACAGGUUAAUAUUCCUGUACCGAGUUAAGGAGAUUUAAUGAGGUAACUCAAUUGAUCUCAGAGACGUCAGUAUGAAAGUCAAGAAGAGUUCUCUUCUCUGUUUUACAAGUUAUAAUGUAGUUUUACUAUGUUAUAUAAAAAUCCAUGGAAUUGAAUUAUUCAGAGAUAUGGAUUAAAACUUGGUAGAGUAAAUCAUUUUUUGAUUUAUUUGACUUUUUCAUAUUGAUUCAUAAAAAUCUGAGGGAAAAAAUAUCUUUCUUACUCGUUCGUACUCAUCACCGCAGCAGGUCUCCAAGGUUAGAAGCCUCUAGUUGACAGAAUAACGUUGGUAAGGGAAGUCGGC
This 435-nucleotide ribosomal RNA is filed under the name uncultured eukaryote. RNAcentral describes it as "eukaryotic LSU rRNA". It matches the Rfam family "Eukaryotic large subunit ribosomal RNA", at positions 1511 to 1918 of the family's 3401-position model. The record is from RNAcentral.